This 1598-nucleotide long non-coding RNA is filed under the name Ananas comosus (pineapple). Its description in RNAcentral is "long non-coding RNA (ACOM_LNC040055)". The record is from RNAcentral. Lineage: Eukaryota; Viridiplantae; Streptophyta; Magnoliopsida; Poales; Bromeliaceae.
AUUUAUCUAGCAUUCUAUAAUAUGUUAACAUACUUAUUUUCACAUUCUUGCAUUAUGUCAACAUGCAUCAAUAUGAAAUCUCAUUUCUCUUAGACAUACAGGCGACCUAGUCGCUUCGGUAAGCACAACCCACCUCAUUUCGCAUUCCGAUUGCUUAUCGACACUUGCAAUCGGCCUCCCGCGGCACCCGGCACCCGGUUUGGCCCGAUCUCUCGCGCGACCACUUGAACGGCCUCCAAUCCACGAUCCGGAAAUUAAAGGUCUUCGGUUAUGCGCCACGGUGCUUCAAAUCUAUUUUCAUGAAUUUACGAUAUCACCUCGGCCCUCCAGGCGGAAACGAAGCCUAAACGUCUGUUUCUUUAAUAACUUCGCAACGGCUCGACAAAUCGCCGAACCUUCUUCGCCAACGCGUUCGUCUACCUAACAAUUAGGUUUACGAAGGGUCAAAUGAGAUCAAUCCCUCAUAUUUACAAAACUAGCAUUUUUGAGCCCUAAAUUACAACUAGGUAAAAAUCCAUUAUUUAGCUUUAUGAAUUAUGCAUUAACCAUCUAUUUAGCAUCCUAGGAUUUCUCUAAAUCCAUUCUUAGAGCAUAUAAUUAAGGCUCUAAAGAUCUACCAUGAGAGGGUUCAAAAAAACUCAUUUCAGUUUUAGCAGUUCGAAACAGUUGGAGCCCUUCUGAAUGUCCGUUUGAGCUCAAAUUUGACAGGCAGGCUCAGUUUAACGUACUGAGUAAGAAUAUAUCUUAAGUUUUCAGUUUCGACCCCAUUUGGUCACCGAAAAUUGUGCCGAGCUGUAAUCUUUAUCAGAUAGCUGUCAGAUUUUAUUUCUCACUCUACGUGUGUCAGAAAAAUAUGAAACUUUAAUUAUGUUCUCUCUUUCUAGCCUAUAUUCUCUCUCUUUUUUCUAAAAAGAUAUUGAAAUUUUUUAUAGUAUUAUUUAAAAUGAAUUAAAUUAAUUAAUUAAUUAAUUGUAUAUUUUUCGCAAUUUUAAAUAACAUGACUAAAUAAUAUGACCGUAAGAACCAAACACCGAAAUACUAUAUUCUUAGUAAUAGGAUGAAUAGGAAUAAGAUUCUCAGAUAUCUUUUUACUUCUAAAAAUCUUUCAUAGUGCGAACCAAACGCACCCUUAGGGUUAUUUACAACUAAUCUUUUUUAUCUUCUAAAUAAUAAAUAAGAAAGAAAAAAACUAAUUAACUAUUCUUCUACGAGUAAUGAAAGAGAUGAAGUGGGAAAGCCUAUCUUCUCUUCUUUUAUACUAGUGUAGAGACCCGCGUGAUGCAGCGGGUAGAUAAUAAAAAUAAAUUUUUAAUAUUUUAAUAAAAUUUAUAUUUACAGUUUAUAGGAAGCUAUAUCAUGUUAAACACAGUCAAUUUGCAUGACUAAAUUCAGUUGUUAAAAAAAUAAAAUAAUAGCUAGAAGCAUAUGAAAUACAUAAAUAAUAACUUAACGUAUCUGGCUUAAGAAAAUUUUGGUUGGCGUCUCAGACUCCAAUCUCUGCAUCAUACUUUUUAAUCUACGAAAGAAAUUUUGCCUACAACAGUGUCUACUCAAAAAAAUGAUCAUAAUAUGAAAAUAAAACAAAAAACAUCAAUCUU